UGAUGAGUCGAUAUUUUAUGGAUUUCACUUAGUUUAUUGUGCUAGAAUUAAUCAGGGAAUUGUGCUUAAUUGUCCAGUAUUUUCCCGUUUUUCCUAAAUAUGCGUAAUUUGAUUAGAAAUUCUUAUUUUAAUUAAUUUGAAUAUUUUGAGCUAAUUAUUUGCAUUAUUAAUUGUAGGAAAAAUUUGGAAAUACAAUUUGGGACAUUUGGAAGUUAAAUGAGGUGCAAGCCACCACCCACUUGCAUUUCAUUUUUAUUUGGGCUUGGAGAGCAUCUAGCAAGGCCUUGGGAAAUUAAUAUUUGAGGGCACAUUUGAGAUUAAAGAAAAGUGGGGGUGCUGAUUUAGUAAAACGGAGGGUGCACACGGAACAAGCACACAACACCAGAUUCUUGGCAGCANCGCACAGCAGCUUCAACAACAUGUUUCUUCCAUCAUGAAGCCCACGGUACAGGUCCAGCUUCACGUCUGCAAACGCCAACUUCAUGCACGGUCCAGCUUUGAUUCAUCGAGCAUAUUGCUGCAUGAAAGAUCCACACACGACCCACACAUCUUCUUCUACUUCAACUCACGGCCCAAUGAAAAUAACAGCUUCAACUUUGGAGAGCCCAUGCUGUAGAAGGCUUCACACGUUCAACAUGCAAGACCCUGCUUCACUCACGUCCAACUUUGAAGGGCACAUUGACAU
This 685-nucleotide long non-coding RNA is filed under the name Vigna radiata. RNAcentral describes it as "long non-coding RNA (VRAD_LNC018378)". Lineage: Eukaryota; Viridiplantae; Streptophyta; Magnoliopsida; Fabales; Fabaceae. The record is from RNAcentral.